UUCGCAGCCGCUGCAUUUUCUAUGUAGCCCUCUGCAAGCCGUCGCCGGCAACUUCUACUCGAUCUAUCGAUAAUAAAGCAGGCGUCCAGCCGUUCUCAGCGGCACGGC
This is a regulatory RNA element of Pseudomonas sp., 108 nucleotides long. It matches the Rfam family "Pseudomon-Rho RNA". NCBI's taxonomy places the organism in Bacteria, Pseudomonadati, Pseudomonadota, Gammaproteobacteria, Pseudomonadales, Pseudomonadaceae. The record is from Rfam.